AUGGAUAAUAAUGGAAUCUGGGACAAAAUCUGGAAAUUGCGAUGUCCUGCAAAGGUGAAAGUAUUUCUUUGGAGAACACUCAGGGGGACUCUUCCGUGUAGGGUUAAUCUAGCAAACUGUCACAUCAAAGCAUCGGGACAGUGCCCAGUCUGCAACUGUGGAGCUGAGGAUGUGACACACCUCCUGUUUAGAUGUAAGAGAGCAACAGAAGUUUGGCGCCUCCUGGGACUUGAAAAUUUUAUUAAGAAAGCAUGUGGUGUGGAUAGAGCAGGUGAGUCUGUCCUUGAUUUUUUGAUGCAAACCCCAGCGAAGGAAAUUGCACUAAUCAGCCAGGCUAAUGUACAUGAGCUAAUCUCUAUCACUUCCUGGUAAAUUUGGUGGGAACAAAGGAGAGUGGUUUACGACAAGGUCAUACAGAGUGCAGAGAAAAUGGUGUCAUCAAUUAAAGCAAUUACAACAAACUUCAUAGCUUCCAUGGAGCCAAAGGCAGUAGCUAAGCCGGAGGGAUGGAUGAAGCCGCCUGCUAAUUUUGUCAAGCUCAAUGUCGACGCAGCGUUUAACCAGGAGCUUCUCACAGGGGCGGCUGGAGGAGUGCUACGGGACUCCUCUGGAUCGUUUAUUGCUGCAGGUAAUUGGAAACUGGAGCAUUGUGUUGAUGCUCUGUCCGCUGAAGUAAUGGCUCUAAAGAAGGGCCUAGAGUUGGCACAGAUGAUGGGAUGCAAUAAACUGAUGGUGAUCUCAGAUAAUCUAGAGGUGGUGGAAACGAUGAAUAACGGCGGUCGCUCAAUGGGAGUAGCGGCAGCUAUUUUUGAUGAUUGCUACAAUCUGGCUUGCGAGUUCCCUCGAUCUUAUUUUGAUCACUGUAAUAGAUUAGCAAAUUCAGUAGCGCAUAAGCUAGCUAGUAUGGCUAUGAGAGCUCAUUCUUCUCUGUGGGUGGAUAAUGCACCGCCGGAGAUUCUCCCUCUCUUAAUGAUGUAA
RNAcentral lists this ribosomal RNA (978 nucleotides) under Triticum aestivum (bread wheat). RNAcentral describes it as "partial small subunit ribosomal RNA". Lineage: Eukaryota; Viridiplantae; Streptophyta; Magnoliopsida; Poales; Poaceae. The record is from RNAcentral.